UUGAUCAGCAGUAGUUCAAUCAACUCUGAGUAUGUUCACUCUGAGUUUGGCGUGUGCGUUGGAAUGAAAAAAGCCAUCAUCAAUGGAGCUCUGAUACUACGCUUCACCAUGGCAACGGGUAAACAAAGAGCACAGCCUCCAUUUUAAUCCAGUUGAGCAGAAAUAUGAACACAUGCCAAUGACCAUGACAUUUAUGUUGAAAAACAGGAGUGAAGAGAGGUUCAAUAAAUGAACACUAUUACAUUUUAUACAGUGUAAUCCACUCAUUCAUCAUUUAACAGACUUCAUUAAUGAUGAUAAAUGCUGCAGUCUGACCAUAUGUUACAUUUGAUAUUUAUUUACUUAUAAUUAUAAAGUCCAACUGAAGUGUCAAUGUUCAAACUGACUCACUCUAUUUUACUUUAAAACAUUUUGCUCAACACUAUUUCAUGACUAUAUUUCCAGGUGUAAAUAUAAACUCAGUCACUGUCAAACAUUAAUAUUUCGUCUGCAGCGAGAUUCAAAAAGUCACUUCUACACUACAGUGAAGUUAAAGUGUUUCCAGCUACAUCAUAAAUAUUCACAUCAGCUAUAAUCUCCAUCAUGAUCAGCGAUCUAUGCCAGGAACAUUUCACAACAUGAUGUCUACAGUACAGAGAGUGUCUACAGUGAUGAUGAGCCUACAGUAACACACGGUAAAACAGUCUGACAGUGUUGGUGUGAACUACGGGGGAGUCAGUCCUCUCACCCCCCCUUAAUGACACAUGAACUCCCCUGGAAACAUGAUUUGUGAGAUUUUGGGGGCGUCUCUAAAAUGUUGGCAAAAUAUUGUUUUUUGAUUGAUUUGAUUAAGUUUUGAUGAUAUGUGCUGACGUAACACAAGUAGACUACAGGCUUGUAAUAAUGGAUGUGUUGAGUUGAGUAUGUACUUUUUUUGUCGUGGAGAUGCGACCUAAACGAGUGUUAGACAGCUGCUUUAGGCUCAGCAGGAGGAGGAGACAGAGAAACUCAGGGUUUGUUGAAGAAAACCUGCCAGCGAGCAGGUUAGGUUCACAGAGUAUGUUGCCGGGGUAAUUGACUCAGCGUUAAGCUGAACUGGCUUUGUGAAACCGAAAAACCAGAGUUUCCUUCAUCUCAGUGUUAACUAACUCAGAGUUUUCACUAAACCUGCUUUCUGAAACGGGCCCCAGGUCGUUGCUUCUGGACCUUCUCUCCGUAGGCUGCCUCAUCUUCCUUUGAGAUUAGUCCGAUCACUGUGGUGUCAUCAGCAAAUUUGACAAUGAUGUUGUCACUGUGGGCCGGACUGCAGUUGUCGUGUAGAGGCAAUACAGGAGGGGACCCAGCACGCAGCCCUGUGGUGUACCAGUGCUCAGCAUGCAGGGGUAGGAGCGAUGGAGGCCAAGUCUCAUAGUCUGGGGUCUCUUUGUGAGAAAAUCCUUAAUCCAGGUACAUGUGAGAGGGGGGAGGCCCAGGGUGUUCAGUUUGGAGAUCAGAAUGUCUGUGAUGAUUGUGUUAAAUGCAGAGCUGUAGUCCACAAAGAGCAUCCUGGCAUGGGGGGGGGGAGACAGUCUUUGGUGUGGGGGAUAUUUGUGGCUGAUUUCAGGCAGGUGGGGAUGACUGCAUGGGCCAGGGAGAAUCCUGCACAAGACGUGGGACAGCUGGUGGGCACAGGUUUUGAGCUCCUUGCCAGGUCCUUCGUCUUGGCCUGCAGCCUUCCUGGGGUUCACUGCGAGGAGCACAUGACGCGUGAUGUCAUCACGGUUGUCAGGAGAGACGCUCGUGACCCCGCCCCCUGAGGUCAAGUGGAGUGGAGAAGACACUAAGAGACAGAGAGACCAGUGUUGGUGACUCCAGCUGUUUCAGGACUCUCUGUUUUGGACUUAUUGACAGCUCCUUUGUCCAAACCUGUGGUGGUUCUCUCAAUAGGAGCUCCUGUCCUCAAGGUUCCAGGGUCAUGGAUUGAGUCGAUCAGAUGUGAUGUGUUGCACAAGGCCAGUGACGUGGCCUUUAGAGACCGUCUGAACCUCCAUCGUCCAGAAGUUUCUGCCCUGGGCAGUGAU
Solea solea (common sole) is the source of this 2039-nucleotide long non-coding RNA. RefSeq lists it as uncharacterized. The transcript has 4 exons. Lineage: Eukaryota; Metazoa; Chordata; Actinopteri; Pleuronectiformes; Soleidae. The record is from RefSeq and is a predicted model, not a curated record.